RNAcentral lists this ribosomal RNA (254 nucleotides) under uncultured bacterium. RNAcentral's name for it is "partial 16S ribosomal RNA". It matches the Rfam family "Bacterial small subunit ribosomal RNA", at positions 524 to 776 of the family's 1533-position model. The record is from RNAcentral.
UACGAGGGGAGCAAGCGUUGUUCGGAUUUACUGGGCGUAAAGGGCGCGUAGGCGGUCGUGACAAGUCACUUGUGAAAUCUCCGGGCUUAACUCGGAACGGUCAAGUGAUACUGUCGGACUAGAGUACAGAAGGGGCAACUGGAAUUCUCGGUGUAGCGGUGAAAUGCGUAGAUAUCGGGAGGAACACCUGUGGCGAAGGCGGCUUUCUGGGCCUUACCUGACGCUGAGACGCGAAAGCGUGGGGAGCGAACCGG